AGCGAAAGUUGGCCUAAUGCCCUAUGUAGUCGUUUGAUCGCCUGAGAUUUCGACGAAAGAUUUAUCGGUAUUGGGAUGGGGGAUGCGUCUGAUUAGGCUUGUUGGCGGGUAAAGGCCCACCAAGGCAACGAUCAGUAGGGGUUCUGAGAGGAAGGUCCCCCACAUUGGAACUGAGACACGGUCCAAACUCCUACGGGAGGCAGCAGUGAGGAAUAUUGGUCAAUGGGCGAGAGCCCUGAACCCAGCCAAGUAGCGUGCAGGACGACGGCCCUAUGGGUUGUAAACUGCUUUUAUAUGGGAAUAAAGUGAGGGGGCGUGUCCCUUAUUGCAUGUACCAUACGAAUAAGGACCGGCUAAUUCCGUGCCAGCAGCCGCGGUAAAU
RNAcentral lists this ribosomal RNA (382 nucleotides) under uncultured Prevotella sp. RNAcentral describes it as "bacterial SSU rRNA". It matches the Rfam family "Bacterial small subunit ribosomal RNA", at positions 150 to 525 of the family's 1533-position model. The record is from RNAcentral. Lineage: Bacteria; Pseudomonadati; Bacteroidota; Bacteroidia; Bacteroidales; Prevotellaceae.